AACCAGCCUGAUGGGUAAAAAUAGUGUAAUUCAGUCAAUUGCAGCUGGGCUCAAAUGUACAGGACGUUUAUUGAAUUUUAUGUGUUGAGAACAAUAAUAAGAUUUGGGCAAGUAAAAAAAAAACAGAUUUUUGUGGCUGCAAAAGAAAAUCUGUAGUAUUAGUAAAAAAUAAAAAAAAGUUGGAAAAGACAUUAGCAGGCUACUACCUUCUUUGUGUGUAAAAUAAGCUUAUGGGACCUGAUAAUGACCUUCGGAUUAGUACUGACAGUUUUAGCUUUUAAAUGAUUCCCAAUGUCGACUGUUUGUACAUUAAAGAGGUUUAUACCUAGUUGAAACUCUAUCGUGCGUUCAUGGAUUUGUAUUAAAUAUAACUGUUAAUCCCUCACGUUUUCAUUAAUUAUUGAUUAAAGAAAUAAGUGGUUACAUUAGCUGGAGUCAAACCCACUGAAUUAGAUUAUAUUCCUUCACAUUUUCUCAACUCAAUCAGCUUGGUGUUCAAGUGGAAACAGUUCACUGCGCAUGCACAGAAGGCUGUGCAAGAUGAAUGAAUGGAUUAUCCCUUUAAAUUGUCGCUGUGAUGUUUAGGCCUCCAUGUUCCUUUCCUGACUCACCUUCAACAACAAAACCCAAGAAAAGGAUCGACAAGAUUAACCAUUAACCUUACAUCCGUUUGUGUUUUAAUUCAUUCAAUCAUGGCUCGUUACAUGUCAUGUGCUGAGAAAGAGAAGCUGCCACCUCACUGACUGUGUGCGUCACCAGCAGACACGAUUACAGCCUGAAUUUAAUGUCAGUGGCUCCACCAGAGCAGAAGCAGGCAGCUUGCUCCGGCUGUCCGAUGCAGCAGCAGCAGCCUUACCCCGCCUCUACCUCGCAUCAUCCCCGACAGGUGUCAAUUUGAGGAGGAGAAGAAGAAGAAGAGGCUGGUUUAGUUACCGCUGAAGACCAUGGCCGCAGAGGCUCCCAUCACGGCGAAGAAAGGUGAGUACUCGGGGCUCUCCUCAGAAGACAUUGUCACUCUUCCCUUCGGACGACAAAGCUAGACGGCACAAUAUCCUCUCUUUCUUUGGCGGGGGGUUCCCCUGUCCCACCGUCACCUCUGGGCAGCUUAAAACUCCGCGAAACAGCGAGGACGACCAGCGACGGCUCAAGUGGAGAAGAGGAAAA
Molecule: long non-coding RNA, 1164 nt
Organism: Xiphophorus hellerii (green swordtail)
Lineage: Eukaryota; Metazoa; Chordata; Actinopteri; Cyprinodontiformes; Poeciliidae
Exons: 2
Source: RefSeq, a predicted model, not a curated record